CAGCCGCCGCGGUAAUGCGAAGGGGGCUAGCGUUGCUCGGAAUUACUGGGCGUAAAGGGCGCGUAGGCGGACAGUUCAGUCAGGGGUGAAAGCCCGGGGCUCAACCUCGGAAUUGCCUUUGAUACUGGGUAUCUUGAGUAUGGAAGAGGUUAGUGGAAUUGCGAGUGUAGAGGUGAAAUUCGUAGAUAUUCGCAGGAACACCAGUGGCGAAGGCGGCUAACUGGUCCAUAACUGACGCUGAGGUGCGAAAGCGUGGGGAGCAAACAGGAUUAGAUACCCCCGUAGUCCCUGUCUCUUAUAC
Molecule: ribosomal RNA, 301 nt
Filed under: uncultured bacterium
Lineage: Bacteria
Description: partial 16S ribosomal RNA
Rfam family: Bacterial small subunit ribosomal RNA
Source: RNAcentral